Non-coding RNA from Aethalodelphis obliquidens (Pacific white-sided dolphin), 73 nucleotides. The record is from the annotation of a RefSeq genome assembly. NCBI's taxonomy places the organism in Eukaryota, Metazoa, Chordata, Mammalia, Artiodactyla, Delphinidae.
UCCCUGGUGGUCCAGUGGUUAAGACUCCGUGCUUCCAACGCAGGGGGCGCAGGUUCAAUCCCUGCUCUGGGAA